This 597-nucleotide ribosomal RNA is filed under the name uncultured fungus. Its description in RNAcentral is "eukaryotic LSU rRNA". The stretch from base 211 to 364 matches the Rfam family "5.8S ribosomal RNA". The record is from RNAcentral. Lineage: Eukaryota; Fungi.
CUUGGUCAUUUAGAGGAAGUAAAAGUCGUAACAAGGUCUCCGUUGGUGAACCAGCGGAGGGAUCAUUACCGAGUACUAUAACUCAUAACCCUUUGUGAACCUUCAUACCUGUUGCUUCGGCGGCGCGCCUCUCGGGGCGUGCCCGCCGGCAUUAUCAGAAUCUCUGUUCGAACCCGACGAUACUUCUGAGUGUUCUAAGCGAACUGUUAAAACUUUCAACAACGGAUCUCUUGGCUCCAGCAUCGAUGAAGAACGCAGCGAAACGCGAUAUGUAAUGUGAAUUGCAGAAUUCAGUGAAUCAUCGAAUCUUUGAACGCACAUGGCGCCUUCCAGUAUCCUGGGAGGCAUGCCUGUCCGAGCGUCGUUUCAACCCUCGAGCCCCCGUGGCCCGGCGUUGGGGACCUGCCCAGGCAGUCCCCGAAAACCAGUGGCGGACCCGACGGGCCCUUCCUUUGCGUAGUAACAUCUGCCUCGCAUCGGGAGCCCCCGGGCUAUCCGGCCUCUAAACCCCCCUCAAGCCCGCUCCGGCGGCACCAAGGUUGACCUCGGAUCAGGUAGGAAUACCCGCUGAACUUAAGCAUAUCAAUAAGCGGAGGA